Molecule: ribosomal RNA, 837 nt
Filed under: uncultured archaeon
Lineage: Archaea
Description: bacterial SSU rRNA
Rfam family: Archaeal small subunit ribosomal RNA
Source: RNAcentral
GGUUACUGCUAUCGGUGUUCGCCUAAGCCAUGCGAGUCAUAUGUUCGUAAGAACAUGGCGUACUGCUCAGUAACACGUGGAUAACCUGCCCUUGGGUCCGGCAUAACCCCGGGAAACUGGGGAUAAUUCCGGAUAACGCACAUAUGCUGGAAUGCUUUUUGCGUAAAAUGGAUUCGUCUGCCCAAGGAUGGGUCUGCGGCCUAUCAGGUAGUAGUGGGUGUAAUGUACCUACUAGCCUACGACGGGUACGGGUUGUGAGAGCAAGAGCCCGGAGAUGGAUUCUGAGACAUGAAUCCAGGCCCUACGGGGCGCAGCAGGCGCGAAAACUUUACAAUGCGGGAAACCGUGAUAAGGGGACACCGAGUGCCAGCAUCCUAUGCUGGCUGUCCGGGUGUGUAAAAUACACCUGUUAGCAAGGGCCGGGCAAGACCGGUGCCAGCCGCCGCGGUAACACCGGCGGCCCGAGUGGUGAUCGUGAUUAUUGGGUCUAAAGGGUCCGUAGCCGGUUUGGUCAGUCCUCCGGGAAAUCUGACGGCUUAACCGUUAGGCUUUCGGGGGAUACUGCCAGACUUGGAACCGGGAGAGGUAAGAGGUACUACAGGGGUAGGAGUGAAAUCUUGUAAUCCCUGUGGGACCACCUGUGGCGAAGGCGUCUUACCAGAACGGGUUCGACGGUGAGGGACGAAAGCUGGGGGCACGAACCGGAUUAGAUACCCGGGUAGUCCCAGCCGUAAACGAUGCUCGCUAGGUGUCAGGCAUGGCGCGACCGUGUCUGGUGCCGCAGGGAAGCCGUGAAGCGGGCCACCUGGGAAGUACGGCCGCAAGGCUGAAACUUAA